ACUCCUACGGGAGGCAGCAGUGGGGAAUAUUGCACAAUGGGGGAAACCCUGAUGCAGCCAUGCCGCGUGUGUGAAGAAGGCCUUCGGGUUGUAAAGCACUUUCAGUAGGGAGGAAGGUAGUGUAGUUAACACCUGCAUUAUUUGACGUUACCUACAGAAGAAGCGCCGGCUAACUCCGUGCCAGCAGCCGCGGUAAUACGGAGGGUGCGAGCGUUAAUCGGAAUUACUGGGCGUAAAGCGCAUGCAGGCGGCCUGUUAAGUCAGAUGUGAAAGCCCGGGGCUUAACCUCGGAAUUGCAUUUGAAACUGGCAGGCUAGAGUCUUGUAGAGGGGUAGAAUUUCAGGUGUAGCGGUGAAAUGCGUAGAGAUCUGAAGGAAUACCAGUGGCGAAGGCGGCCCCUGGACAAAGACUGACGCUCAGAUGCGAAAGCGUGGGAGCAAACAGGAUUACGAUACCCCGUGGUAGGAUAGCG
This 472-nucleotide ribosomal RNA is filed under the name uncultured bacterium. Its description in RNAcentral is "bacterial SSU rRNA". It matches the Rfam family "Bacterial small subunit ribosomal RNA", at positions 335 to 799 of the family's 1533-position model. The record is from RNAcentral.